GUCCUGUGAUGACCUGUGGCGGAAGGUAAACCGAAGGUGACUGCGGUUAACGUCCUCGAUGGGAAUGGCCACCUUCAAGAAUUGAAAAAGAAGUUUAAGCACUGUUAUCAAUAUCAUCCAGCGUAACAGCUUUAUUCAACUGGAGCUAUCAGGGUCACCUACCAGGAGCUGAGCCCUUUCCUUGCCAGAGCUCAUACAUGAUGCUGCCCACACGUCAUCCUCCGUGGCCGGCUACCCCCAUGCCAUGCUGAGAAGCCCUGAACAAGCCAGUUCUUACCAGGCAUGAUUAUCUCCGGAAACCCUGUUUUUCGAGCCACAGCUGUGGUCCUGUCCACUAAAUGCGGAAACUCUUUUCGGAUCUGAUGGAUAUCUCCAGGAAGUAAUUUCAAUGUUACCCACAAACCUGGAAAAACAAUGGAUGCUCUUAAGUCGCAUUUUAUCCUAUGCAUUUUUAGAAGUUUUCACGAAACCAAUUUCAAUGAAUGAGAGACUUUUAAUUCACAAUUCAACAUCUUGAGAGAAAAGAGAAAUAUGCAACUGCGAAGUUCUCACGGGAGAAGUCCUGAGCACACUGCAAGGC
Molecule: long non-coding RNA, 580 nt
Organism: Homo sapiens (human)
Lineage: Eukaryota; Metazoa; Chordata; Mammalia; Primates; Hominidae
Source: Ensembl